Molecule: long non-coding RNA, 433 nt
Organism: Molossus molossus (Pallas's mastiff bat)
Lineage: Eukaryota; Metazoa; Chordata; Mammalia; Chiroptera; Molossidae
Exons: 4
Source: RefSeq, a predicted model, not a curated record
CCUACCCAUCACCCAUCUUCAACAUUAAGGACAAUUUUAAAUGAAGUAUUUAAACCAUCUGAAGGCCAGUUUGAAAAAAAAAGAUUCUUACAUCAUCUCAUAUCUUGAAAGUGAGAGAGGGUUCACAAGAUGGAAGCCACAGUCUUUUUGUAACCUAACCUCAAAAUGACAUUCUAUCAUUAGAUGCAAGUUAUUAUACCUAGUCCACAUUCAAGGGGAGGCGAUUAUACAAGAGUGUGAAAACCCAACAGGCUGGUUGUAUUUCCCUUCAAGCUACAGUUAGAGCACUGGGCAUUUUUGGCAGUCUACUUUUAUGUAGCCAUAAAAGAUGAUCUCUGGAGGAAAAAGGCUCCGUUGAGAUGGGAAAAUAUCCUCAGGUGAGGAUUAAAAAAAUUGCCCUUUGAAAGGAUUCCAGGCUGAAAACAAUUUCUCC